UAGACAUAUUCUUGGACCUCUCACAU
Molecule: non-coding RNA, 26 nt
Filed under: Rattus norvegicus (Norway rat)
Lineage: Eukaryota; Metazoa; Chordata; Mammalia; Rodentia; Muridae
Source: RNAcentral